This 270-nucleotide ribosomal RNA is filed under the name uncultured bacterium. RNAcentral's name for it is "partial 16S ribosomal RNA". It matches the Rfam family "Bacterial small subunit ribosomal RNA", at positions 88 to 354 of the family's 1533-position model. The record is from RNAcentral.
CCGGCGACCGGCGCACGGGUGAGUAACACGUAUGCAACCUGGCCGUCACAGGUGGAUAACCGGAAGAAAUUCCGACUAAUACAGCAUAACACUCCUGAGGGACAUCCCUUGGGAGUCAAAGGAGGCAACUCCGGUGACGGAUGGGCAUGCGGCGCAUUAGGUAGUUGGUAGGGUAACGGCCUACUAAGCCGACGAUGCGUAGGGGUUCUGAGAGGAAGGUCCCCCACAUUGGAACUGAGACACGGUCCAAACUCCUACGGAAGGCAGCAG